GAUGGCACAGUGAGGAGAGAGGCCCUCCUGCCGCUACACACUCCUGAGCCUGCCACACAAGCAGCGGGCUUUCCAUCCACCCAGCUGAGACCCCCAGGCACAAGUGGGAGCCCACAGAAACAGCGGAGGACGACGCGAGGACGCGUGGGAGAGGGGGCUUCAAAGGAAGUCUGGGGGAAUCGAGAAAGGCGAGAGAAGACAUUUUCCCAAAUGCAAGCAAAAAAGGACGGGCAGGGAUGAAAUGCAAAGCCUGCGGAGACGCUGAACUUAGGAACCGAUCAGCAGGACGGAGGAAGUGGGCCAAGAAGGGGAAGGCGGCAGGGUGGAAGGCCGAGAGAGGAGCAGGUGUGGAGAGGAGGCUGAGGCCGGAAGAGGCAGGGGGCCGGGCCCAGCAGUUCAUCCAGAUGGUUUGCCCCGGUAGCCAUGGAUGUGCUGGGCUCCUGCAGUACAGAUGUCUUGGACCGGAGUGUUCUGCACAAGGUGGGAUGUGGAUCAUCUCGGGUCCCUGUCAUUUAGAUGUGGUGUCUGCAGAUGCCCCCUCAUCUCCAAGUAUGCCCAGGUAAUGGCUACCAAGGAAGGAUCUGUUAUCCCUAGCAUAUCCACAGGAACACACACACACACAAUCCACAAGGGCAGAGCUGAUGGCCAACAGACUGUCCCAGAGAACAGAGGCCUGGGCCAGGGCUCUCGGGUGCGCUCACUCAAUUCUGUUGCGAGUUGGAGGGUUUGUUUGUUUGUCUGUUUGUUUGUUUUGGGACGGAGUCUUGCUAUGUAGUCUAGGCUGGCUUUAAACUCACUGUGAUCCCCCUACCUCAGCCUCCCAAGUUCUGGGAUUACAAGUGUGUACCACCACACUCUGCUGGAGGACUUGUUCUUAUUACCUCCUAAAGAAGGAAACAGUUUCCUUACAUUUGUGCUUAGACACACAUAAGGCCAGGUUCAGUGGCACACACCUAUAGAGACUUAGCAAAACCAGGUCUCAAAAAAAGGAGGGGGAGAGGGGGAAGGGGAGGAGGAGACAGGAGGAGAAAGAGGAGGGGGAGGG
Chinchilla lanigera (long-tailed chinchilla) is the source of this 1045-nucleotide long non-coding RNA. RefSeq lists it as uncharacterized. The transcript has 3 exons. NCBI's taxonomy places the organism in Eukaryota, Metazoa, Chordata, Mammalia, Rodentia, Chinchillidae. The record is from RefSeq and is a predicted model, not a curated record.